UGUGUGUCGUAGUUAACGCGUUAAACAGGGCGCCUGGGAAGUACGGCCGCAAGGCUAAAACCCAAAGGAAUUGACGGGGACCCGCACAAGCAGUGGAGCGCCUGGUUUAAUUCGAUGGUCAGCGAAGAACCUCACCUAGGCUUGAACUGUAGCUGCACGCUCCCAGAAACGGGAGAAUCCUUCGAGGGUGCUACAGAGGUGCUGCAUGGCUGUCGUCAGCUCGUGUCGUGAGAUGUAGGGUUAAGUCCCACAACGAGCGCAACCCCUAUUCAGUGUUAUAAUUACUCUGAAGACUGCCCUGUCCAAACGGGGAGGAAGGAGGGGACGACGUCCAGUCAUCAUGUCCCUUAUGUCUAGGGCUACACAGACGCUACAAUGGCCGGUACAAUGGGUUGCCAAGCCGCGAGGUGGAGCCAAUCCCAUCAAAGCCGGUCCCAGUUCGGAUUGCAGUCUGCAACUCGACUGCAUGAAGUUGGAAUUGCUAGUAAUCGCGAAUCAGCACGUCGCGGUGAUACGUUCUCGGGUCUUGUACACACCGCCCGUCAGGGCACGGGAGUCGCUCUUGCUCGAAGU
RNAcentral lists this ribosomal RNA (573 nucleotides) under uncultured organism. RNAcentral describes it as "bacterial SSU rRNA". It matches the Rfam family "Bacterial small subunit ribosomal RNA", at positions 840 to 1427 of the family's 1533-position model. The record is from RNAcentral.